UUUAAAACAAUAAAAAAAUUUUUGGAAAAUAUUAUUUUUUUUAUGUUUUGACGAAAAUCGGGUAUUUUAAUACUGAGCUUAUAUCCUUACGGUAUAAAAAAUACAACCCAAUAUUAGUCCACUUUGAUAAAAAUAUGCAGAAAAAUCAACAACAUUUUUAGGGACUUUUUAGAUUUUUUUUGAAAGCAAAAACAUUUUUUAUUCUGAAAAUCUUUGAUAUUUUGACGAAAACCGGGUAUUUCUAACACUGGUUUUGUAUCUUUACAGUAUAAAAAUACAAACCAAAAUUAAACCACUUUAACAAAAACAUGCAAAAAAAUCAC
RNAcentral lists this long non-coding RNA (323 nucleotides) under Populus tremula. RNAcentral's name for it is "long non-coding RNA (PTRE_LNC003411)". The record is from RNAcentral. Lineage: Eukaryota; Viridiplantae; Streptophyta; Magnoliopsida; Malpighiales; Salicaceae.